This 253-nucleotide ribosomal RNA is filed under the name uncultured prokaryote. RNAcentral's name for it is "partial 16S ribosomal RNA". It matches the Rfam family "Bacterial small subunit ribosomal RNA", at positions 524 to 776 of the family's 1533-position model. The record is from RNAcentral.
UACGUAGGGGGCAAGCGUUGUCCGGAUUUAUUGGGCGUAAAGAGCGUGUAGGCGGCCUGACAGGUCUGCUGUGAAAACUCGAGGCUCAACCUCGAGAUGUCGGCGGAAACCGUCUGGCUAGAGUCCGGAAGAGGAGAGUGGAAUUCCUGGUGUAGCGGUGGAAUGCGCAGAUAUCAGGAAGAACACCGAUAGCGAAGGCAGCUCGCUGGGACGGUACUGACGCUGAGGCGCGAAAGCGUGGGGAGCGAACAGG